UCGGGAAUAUUGCGCAAUGGAGGAAACUCUGACGCAGUGACGCCGCGUAUAGGAAGAAGGUUUUCGGAUUGUAAACUAUUGUCCACAGGGAAGAUAAAAGACUGUACCUGUGAAGAAAGCUCCGGCUAACUACGUGCCAGCAGCCGCGGUAAUACGUAGGGAGCAAGCGUUAUCCGGAAUUAUUGGGUGUAAAGGGUGCGUAGACGGGAUAACAAGUUGGUUGUGAAACCCCUCGGCUCAACUGAGGAACUGCAACCAAAACUAUUAUUCUUGAGUGCAGGAGAGGAAAGUGGAAUUCCUAGU
This 303-nucleotide ribosomal RNA is filed under the name uncultured bacterium. RNAcentral describes it as "bacterial SSU rRNA". It matches the Rfam family "Bacterial small subunit ribosomal RNA", at positions 355 to 674 of the family's 1533-position model. The record is from RNAcentral.